This 409-nucleotide ribosomal RNA is filed under the name Salmonella enterica subsp. enterica serovar Oranienburg. Its description in RNAcentral is "bacterial SSU rRNA". It matches the Rfam family "Bacterial small subunit ribosomal RNA", at positions 1106 to 1515 of the family's 1533-position model. The record is from RNAcentral. Lineage: Bacteria; Pseudomonadati; Pseudomonadota; Gammaproteobacteria; Enterobacterales; Enterobacteriaceae. RNAcentral also lists the same sequence under 6 other names.
UAUCCUUUGUUGCCAGCGAUUAGGUCGGGAACUCAAAGGAGACUGCCAGUGAUAAACUGGAGGAAGGUGGGGAUGACGUCAAGUCAUCAUGGCCCUUACGACCAGGGCUACACACGUGCUACAAUGGCGCAUACAAAGAGAAGCGACCUCGCGAGAGCAAGCGGACCUCAUAAAGUGCGUCGUAGUCCGGAUUGGAGUCUGCAACUCGACUCCAUGAAGUCGGAAUCGCUAGUAAUCGUGGAUCAGAAUGCCACGGUGAAUACGUUCCCGGGCCUUGUACACACCGCCCGUCACACCAUGGGAGUGGGUUGCAAAAGAAGUAGGUAGCUUAACCUUCGGGAGGGCGCUUACCACUUUGUGAUUCAUGACUGGGGUGAAGUCGUAACAAGGUAACCGUAGGGGAACCUGC